GGCGCUAUAGCUCAGUGGCAGAGCACUGGUCUUGUAAACCAGGGGUCGCGAGUUCGAUCCUCGCUGGAGCCU
Molecule: transfer RNA, 72 nt
Filed under: Dallia pectoralis (Alaska blackfish)
Lineage: Eukaryota; Metazoa; Chordata; Actinopteri; Esociformes; Umbridae
Description: tRNA-Thr
Rfam family: tRNA
About the family: Transfer RNA (tRNA) molecules are approximately 80 nucleotides in length. Their secondary structure includes four short double-helical elements and three loops (D, anti-codon, and T loops).
Source: RNAcentral